RNAcentral lists this ribosomal RNA (253 nucleotides) under uncultured bacterium. RNAcentral's name for it is "partial 16S ribosomal RNA". It matches the Rfam family "Bacterial small subunit ribosomal RNA", at positions 524 to 776 of the family's 1533-position model. The record is from RNAcentral.
UACGUAGGGUGCGAGCGUUGUCCGGAAUUAUUGGGAGUAAAGAGCUCGUAGGCGGUUUGUUGCGUCGGCCGUGAAAACCUGCAGCUUAACUGUGGGCCUGCGGUCGAUACGGGCAGACUUGAGUUCGGUAGGGGAGACUGGAAUUCCUGGUGUAGCGGUGAAAUGCGCAGAUAUCAGGAGGAACACCGGUGGCGAAGGCGGGUCUCUGGGCCGAUACUGACGCUGAGGAGCGAAAGCGUGGGGAGCGUACAGG